Molecule: ribosomal RNA, 109 nt
Filed under: Lottia gigantea (owl limpet)
Lineage: Eukaryota; Metazoa; Mollusca; Gastropoda; Lottiidae
Source: RNAcentral
GUCUACGGCCAUACCACGUUGAAAGCACCAGUUCACUGAAGUUAAGCAACGUCGGGCUAGGUUAGUACUUGAUGGGUGACCGUCUUGGGAACACCGAGCGCUGUAGACU